AGUCGAACGGCAGCACGGACUUCGGUCUGGUGGCGAGUGGCGAACGGGUGAGUAAUGUAUCGGAACGUGCCUAGUAGCGAAGGGAUAACUACGCGAAAGCGUAGCUAAUACCACAUACGCCCUUCAGGAAAGCAGGGGACCUUCGGGCCUCGCACUGUUAGAGCGGCCGAUAUCGGAUUAGCUGAUUGGUGGGGUAACGGCUCACCAAGGCGACGAUCCGUAGCUGGUUUGAGAGGACGACCAGCCACACUAAGGACUGAGACACGGCCCAGACUCCUACAGGAGAGCAGUGGGGAAUUUGGACAAUGGGGGAAACCCUGAUCCAGCCAUCCCGCGUGUGCGAUGAAGGCCUUCGGGUUGCCAAGCACUUUUGGCAGGAAAGAAACGGCACGGGAUAAUACCCCGUGCAUGACUGGCUACCACCAGAAUAAGCACCGGCUAACUACGUGCCAGCAGCCGCGGUAAUACGUAGGGUGCAAGCGUUAAUCCGGAAUUACUGGGCGUAAAGCGUGUGCAGGCGGUUCGGAAAGAAGAUGUGAAAUCCAGAGCUUAACUUUGGAACUGCAUUUUUAACUACCGAGCUAGAGAGUGUGUCAGAGGGAGGUGCAAAUUCCCGCGUGUAGCAGUGAAAUGCGUAGAUAUGCGGAGGAGACACCGAUGGCGAAGGCAGCCUCCUGGGAUAACACUGACGCUCAUGCACGAAAGCGUGGGGAGCAAACAGGAUUAGAUACCCUGAUGGCGAUCCCACGCCCUAAACGAUGUCAAUAGCUGUUGGGGCCUUCGGGCCUUGGUAGCGCAGCUAACGCGUGAAGUUGACCGCCUGGGGAGGUACGGUCGCAAAGAUUAAAACUCAAAGGAAUUGGCCUUGGGGACCCGCACAAGCGGUGGAUGAUGUGGAUUAAUUCGAUGCAACGCGAAAAACCUUACCUACCCUUGACAUGUCUGGAAUCCGAAGAGAUUUGGGAGUGCUCGCAAAGAGAACCGGAACACAGGUGCUGUGGCUGUCGUCAGCUCGUGUCGUGAGAUGUUGGGUUAAGUCCCGCAACGAGCGCAACCCACUUGUCGUGUAGUUGCUACGAAAGGGCACUCUAAUGAGACUGCCGGUGACAAACCGGAGGAAGGUGCGUGGGGAUGACGUCCAAGUCCUCAUGGCCCUUAUGGGUAGGGCUUCACACGUCAUACAAUGGUCGGGACAGAGGGUCGCCAACCCGCGAGGGGAAUAGAAAUCCCAGAAGCCCGAUCAUGAGUCGAGGUCGCAGUCUGCAACUCGACUGCGUGAAGUCGGAAUCGCUAGUAGUCGCGGAUCAGCAUGUCGCGGUGAAUACGUUCCCGGGUCUUGUACACACCGCCCGUCACACCAUGGGAGUGGGUUUUACCAGUGGUUAGCCUAACCGUAAGAGGCGAUUACCACGGUAGGAUUCAUGACUGGGGUGAAGUCGUAACAAGGUAACUCUGUUA
This 1458-nucleotide ribosomal RNA is filed under the name uncultured Bordetella sp. RNAcentral describes it as "partial 16S-23S ribosomal RNA intergenic spacer". It matches the Rfam family "Bacterial small subunit ribosomal RNA". The record is from RNAcentral. Lineage: Bacteria; Pseudomonadati; Pseudomonadota; Betaproteobacteria; Burkholderiales; Alcaligenaceae.